Molecule: ribosomal RNA, 465 nt
Filed under: uncultured bacterium
Lineage: Bacteria
Description: partial 16S ribosomal RNA
Rfam family: Bacterial small subunit ribosomal RNA
Source: RNAcentral
GACGAACGCUGGCGGCGUGCUUAACACAUGCAAGUCGAACGGAAAGGCCCCUUUGGGGGUACUCGGUUGGCGAACGGGGGAAUAACACGUGAAUAACCUGCGCUUGACUUCGGGAUAACUUCAGGAAACUGGGGCUAAUACCGCUAAGGAAUCCUUGCUGCAUGGUGUGGGAUGGAAAGCCUCGGCGGUUUUGGAUGGCUUCGCGGCUUGUCAGCUUGUUGGUGGGGUAGUGGCUUACCGAGGCUGUGACGGGUAGCCGGCCUGCGCGGGCGACCGGCCACGUUGGGACUGAGAUACGGCCCAGACUCCUACGGGAGGCAGACGUGGGGAGUAUUGCUCAAUGGGCGGAAGCCUGAUGCAGCAACGCCGCGUGCGGGAUGACGGCCUUCGCGUUGUAAACCGCUUUCAGCAGGGGCGAAGCUUGUGGUGACGGUACCUGCAGAAGAAGCACCGGCUAACUACGUG